This 878-nucleotide ribosomal RNA is filed under the name uncultured euryarchaeote. RNAcentral describes it as "bacterial SSU rRNA". It matches the Rfam family "Archaeal small subunit ribosomal RNA", at positions 21 to 904 of the family's 1478-position model. Lineage: Archaea; Methanobacteriati; Methanobacteriota. The record is from RNAcentral.
AGCCACUGUUAUUGGGAUUCGAUUAAGCCAUGCGAGUCGAGGGUGCUUCGGCAACCCGGCGAACUGCUCAGUAACACGUGGAUAAUCUACUCUCAGGUAGAGGAUAAACCCGGGAAACUGGGGCUAAUACUCUAUAGGAAAAAAAAUCUGGAAUGAUUUUUUUCCGAAAGAUUUUUCGCCUGAGAAUGAGUCCGCGGCCGAUUAGGUAGUUGGUAGGGUAAAUGCCUACCAAGCCGGCGAUCGGUACGGGUAGUGAGAGCUAUAGCCCGGAGUUGGGAACUGAGACACGGUCCCAGGCUCUACGGAGCGCAGCAGGCGCGAAACCUUCGCAAUGCCCGAAAGGGUGACGGGGGGAUCCCAAGUGCUGGCGUCAUGCGUUGGCUUUUCUUAAGUGUAAGGAGCUUAAGGAAUAAGGAGAGGGCAAGACCGGUGCCAGCCGCCGCGGUAACACCGGCUCUUCAAAUGGUGGCCAUUUUAUUGGGCUUAAAGCGUUCGUAGCUGGAUUUGUAAGUCCCUGGCGAAAUUCUAUUGCUUAACGAUAGAGCUUGCUGGGGAUACUGCUCAUCUUGAGACCGGGAGAGGCUAGAGGUACUCCUAGGGUAGGGGUGAAAUCCGUUAAUCCUAGGGGGACCACCUGUGGUGAAGACGUCUAGCUGGAACGGGUCUGACAGUGAGGAACGAAACCCAGGGGAGCAAACCGGAUUAGAUACCCGGGUAGUCCUGGGCGUAAACGAUGUGGGCUAGGUGUCACAUGAUCUUAGUGAUUGUGUGGUGCCGAAGGGAAACCGUUAAGCCCAUCGCCUGGGGAGUACGGUCGCAAGGCUGAAACUUAAAGGAAUUGGCGGGGGAGCACCACAAGGGGUGGAGCCUGCGGUUUA